UUCCCGUCUCCAGAAUUCUGUUCCUUCUACUUGAAGUUGGCUUGAAGAUGGCUAGCUGCCAUGGAAGCAAUCAUUCUACUGAAAGCCAUUUUUACAUUUUCUUCUCCGUUGUACAAAUGUUCAUUUUCUUUCAUGUAAAAAAUAAUAUUCUAAGCAGAAGGUGAAUAAAUGCAAUCCCCAGAAACUGGUAUCUUCAUUGUAAAGGUAUAUGAAUUUUAUACUUUUUAAAUGGAAAGGAUAUUAUGUAAUUUCAUUUAAGAAGUAAGGUUCUACCUUUGCUUCUUUAUUCU
Long non-coding RNA from Coffea arabica (coffee), 290 nucleotides. RefSeq lists it as uncharacterized. Lineage: Eukaryota; Viridiplantae; Streptophyta; Magnoliopsida; Gentianales; Rubiaceae. The record is from RefSeq and is a predicted model, not a curated record.